GGUUUUAUAUUUUAAUAAAAAAAUUUUUGUUUUGCAGGCAAAGAAUGAGAAGGCUCUCUAAAACCA
Molecule: transfer RNA, 66 nt
Filed under: Tetrastemma olgarum
Lineage: Eukaryota; Metazoa; Nemertea; Enopla; Monostilifera; Tetrastemmatidae
Description: tRNA-Ala
Source: RNAcentral